AUUGAACGCUGGCGGCAUGCUUUACGCAUGCAAGUCGAACGGCAGCGCGGGCUUCGGCCUGGCGGCGAGUGGCGAACGGGUGAGUAAUGCAUCGGAACGUGCCCAGUAGUGGGGGGUAGCCCGGCGAAAGCCGGAUUAAUACCGCAUACGACCUGAGGGUGAAAGCGGGGGACCGAAAGGCCUCGCGCUAUUGGAGCGGCCGAUGUCGGAUUAGCUAGUUGGUGGGGUAAAGGCUUACCAAGGCGACGAUCCGUAGCUGGUCUGAGAGGACGACCAGCCACACUGGGACUGAGACACGGCCCAGACUCCUACGGGAGGCAGCAGUGGGGAAUUUUGGACAAUGGGGGCAACCCUGAUCCAGCCAUGCCGCGUGCGGGAAGAAGGCCUUCGGGUUGUAAACCGCUUUUGUUCGGGAAGAAAUCCUCUGGGCUAAUACCCCGGGGGGAUGACGGUACCGGAAGAAUAAGCACCGGCUAACUACGUG
Molecule: ribosomal RNA, 484 nt
Filed under: uncultured bacterium
Lineage: Bacteria
Description: partial 16S ribosomal RNA
Rfam family: Bacterial small subunit ribosomal RNA
Source: RNAcentral